GCGAGUGGCGAACGGGUGAGUAAUAUAUCGGAACGUACCCUGGAGUGGGGGAUAACGUAGCGAAAGUUACGCUAAUACCGCAUACGAUCUAAGGAUGAAAGUGGGGGAUGCGCAAGCACCUCAUGCUCCUGGAGCGGCCGAUAUCUGAUUAGCUAGUUGGUGGGGUAAAGGCCUACCAAGGCAUCGAUCAGUAGCUGGUCUGAGAGGACGACCAGCCACACUGGAACUGAGACACGGUCCAGACUCCUACGGGAGGCAGCAGUGGGGAAUUUUGGACAAUGGGCGAAAGCCUGAUCCAGCAAUGCCGCGUGAGUGAAGAAGGCCUUCGGGUUGUAAAGCUCUUUUGUCAGGGAAGAAACGGUGUGGGCUAAUAUCCUGCACUAAUGACGGUACCUGAAGAAUAAGCACCGGCUAACUACGUGCCAGCAGCCGCGGUAAUACGUAGGGUGCAAGCGUUAAUCGGAAUUACUGGGCG
RNAcentral lists this ribosomal RNA (475 nucleotides) under uncultured Oxalobacteraceae bacterium. Its description in RNAcentral is "bacterial SSU rRNA". It matches the Rfam family "Bacterial small subunit ribosomal RNA", at positions 91 to 560 of the family's 1533-position model. Lineage: Bacteria; Pseudomonadati; Pseudomonadota; Betaproteobacteria; Burkholderiales; Oxalobacteraceae. The record is from RNAcentral.